AGGGCAGAGAAAGCUCCUCAAUGGGUACACGUGCUGAGUGCUUAUCACUCCCUGGUCCCUGGGGAGGUCUAAGACUGGGGUGUCCCGUAGCCGUAACUGGGCCCUCCCUGAGUGGAGAAGUGAGUACCAAUAGAACAGGGCUCCAUGCCUGGGCAGACUGGGCAGGAGAGGCCCCGAGUGGGCAGAUGCCUCCCUUGCCAAAGUUCGAACAGACUCACAAAUGAUUGUGAAAAGUGUUUGUGCUGGAAACUGAACUUUGAAACUCUGAAAGAAUGACGCUUUUAAUGACUGGGUCAUAUCUUCAGUCCCU
Molecule: ribozyme, 310 nt
Organism: Mesocricetus auratus (golden hamster)
Lineage: Eukaryota; Metazoa; Chordata; Mammalia; Rodentia; Cricetidae
Rfam family: Nuclear RNase P
About the family: Ribonuclease P (RNase P) is a ubiquitous endoribonuclease, found in archaea, bacteria and eukarya as well as chloroplasts and mitochondria. Its best characterised activity is the generation of mature 5'-ends of tRNAs by cleaving the 5'-leader elements of precursor-tRNAs.
Source: Ensembl